AGUGAACGCUGGCGGUAGGCCUAACACAUGCCAGUCGAACGGCAGCACAGUAAGAGCUUGCUCUUACGGGUGGCGAGUGGCGGACGGGUGAGGAAUACAUCGGAAUCUACUUUUUCGUGGGGGAUAACGUAGGGAAACUUACGCUAAUACCGCAUACGACCUACGGGUGAAAGCAGGGGAUCUUCGGACCUUGCGCGAUUGAAUGAGCCGAUGUCGGAUUAGCUAGUUGGCGGGGUAAAGGCCCACCAAGGCGACAAUCCGUAGCGGGUCUGAGAGGAUGAUCAGCCACACUGGAACUGAGACACGGUCCAGACUCCUACGGGAGGCAGCAGUGGGGAAUAUUGGACAAUGGGCGCAAGCCUGAUCCAGCCAUACCGCGUGGGUGAAGAAGGCCUUCGGGUUGUAAAGCCCUUUUGUUGGGAAAGAAAGGCAGCAGGUUAAUACCCCGCUGCUCUGACGGUACCCAAAGAAUAAGCACCGGCUAACUUCGUG
RNAcentral lists this ribosomal RNA (492 nucleotides) under uncultured bacterium. RNAcentral's name for it is "partial 16S ribosomal RNA". It matches the Rfam family "Bacterial small subunit ribosomal RNA", at positions 29 to 507 of the family's 1533-position model. The record is from RNAcentral.